CUGAUCACUUUGGCAUCAGAUUUACUAAAACUGAGAUGAUACAGAAAAGAUGAAUAUGGACCGUAUGCAAAGAUGACAUGAAAAUUCAUGAAAUAUUCCACAUUUUA
This 107-nucleotide small nuclear RNA is filed under the name Notamacropus eugenii (tammar wallaby). The record is from RNAcentral. Lineage: Eukaryota; Metazoa; Chordata; Mammalia; Diprotodontia; Macropodidae.